AGGAGAUGGCGGCCUCGGGUUGGUGGCGGGCCGCGUUCACCCCCUCUGGUCUCCUAGUGGCCCUUGCACGGCGACCCCGGAACCCGGGUCCCACCUGAUGCGAGGAGACCUGGCCCUAACGACCUGGCAAGGCAGCUCAUCUCUGUAAUGAGGUCAAGAGGGACUGAGGGGACAGACUUUCCACUUUGCUUUUUCUCUUUUGCUGUUUAAGAAGUGAAUGCCGUGAGUGGAGAAAUAAAAUGAGGACCGAACCCUGCCCUCCCCAGUGAGUGCAUCUGGGUCGACGCUGGCCUGAAGUAGUGGCCUGGAGCGGUUCUUGAGAGAGUCCUGCUGCAGACAGGAGAGGCCAGCUGCCAUCCAGCUGGAAGAAGAUUCGCUGGGUAGACUCGGCUGAUCUGCAUUUCUUCACCAGAUUUAAGGACUAGCCUGAUCCUACGCUUUCUCAUGGAAAUGGCAGAAGUUCAGAAGAGUAAAAGCUGUACUACACAAAUGUUCUUCAAACCUUUGAAGAUCAUACCACCUCUGCUUCCAGAGCACUGGCUAAAACAAAUCACACGGUGGAAAUGGAAACCAACCAGUUGGGCAGACUAUAAUGAGUGCAUCAACCAGCAAGAAGGACUCUAUCUAGGUGACCACUCCUGUGAGUGUGUACCUGGCUCCAGUACAGCCUCAGAGAAGAAUGCAGCUGUGCACACUGACUGGCACUGACCCCUGCAUCGCCUCCAAGCCUCCCAACAACCACUGCAUUUUAUUUUAUUUUUCUCUUAAAUGUGCAUGUGUAUGUGUGUGUGUGUGUGAUGCACACGCAUGUGUUCACACAAAUAGAGGUCAGAAGAGGGCAUCGGAGCCUCUGGAACUGGAGUUGUAGGCAUUUGUGAUCCACUCAACAUAGGUGCUAGGACUAGAACCCUGGUCCUUCACAAGAGCAUCAAACUUUCUUAACUGUUGAGCCAUCUCCCUAGACUGCUCACUGUGUUCUCAAGUCACUCAUUUUUUUUUUCCUCAGCAAGGAAUGUUUCAGAUAUUUCUCAUGCCUCCAACUUCAUUGCUUACCUGUCCUUAAUCUUCAUAGGUGACUUUCUUACCUCAUACCUCUCUUCCCCUGCUUACCUACCCCCAAAGGACUACAUGCCCAAAUACUGUGCCAUCUGAGAGAAUCAAGCAGAUGCCAUAACAGGCUGCUCAAUCUUCUCUCAGAGAUCAGGCCUCAAUUUCAACUUCCUGGGACUGAACAAGCAGUUUCUGAGGGAGCCAUAAACAAAAGACAAUCCAUCUUCAAGGCCCCCCGACAGCAGGGACAAAGGAAAUAAACAUACCAGGCCUGAGCCAGCCCCCACAGUCAGCAUGUAACUAGGCUAGCAAGCCUCCACAGCAGCUCAAGGACAGGGCUUGGGACUUGUCCAGGCCUUCCCCAAAAUGGAAAAUGGUAGCCGUGACCAGCCCCUGACUAGCCCUGGCUGAUUAGAAUGUGCUAAUAUUGCCACUUGCUUAAGCCAAUCAUAUCUAAAUUGACCUAACUACCCUAGGAGCUCCCCUUGGCUAUGCUUAAAAGGAGCCUGAGAGCUCCUGUCAGGGUCGUCACCAUUUUGCCCUUGUGUAGAAUGUUGGCUCCAGAACGCUCUUGCUGAUUGCAUACAUGGAUGGUGAUUCUUUUGUGGGAUUUCCCCAGGACCCUAUCACCACCAAAAGUGCUUCUCCUCCCUUGCAGAGAUCAUCCGUGAGAUGGUGUACAAGGUUGGGUCUUACACCUUCCCAGUUGUCCACCCUUCCAGCUAGCACAUCUUUGAGAGAGUUUUACUUUCCCAUAGUUCAUUUCUGUGAACUGAAAUGUAUGGCUAGCCACUGGGGUACAAUGCUCUUCAUGGUACUGGGGAUGCAUAGUUAGAUUGGAGAUAUGUGCUGGCUGGUUUUGUGUGUCAACUUGACACAAGCUAGAGUCAUCAGAGAGGAAAGAGCCUCAGCUGAGGAAAUGCCUCCACGAUAUCCAGCUGUAGGCAUUUUCUCAAUUAGUGAUCAACGGGGGAGGGCCCAGCCCAUGGUGGGUGGUGCCAUCCCUGUGCUGGUGCUCCUGGGUUCUAUAAGAAACCAGGCUGAGCAAGCCAGGGCAAACAAGCCAGUAAGCAGCACCUCUCCAUGGUCUCUGCAUUUCCUUCUGCCUCCAGGAUCCUGCCCUGUUCCUGUCCUGUCCUUCAGUGAUCAACAGCAAUGCUGAAUGAAGUGUAAGCCAAAUAAAUAAACCCUUUUCUCCCCAACUUGCUUUCUGGUCAUGGUGUUUUGUUGCAGCAAUAGAAACCC
Peromyscus maniculatus bairdii (prairie deer mouse) is the source of this 2295-nucleotide non-coding RNA. NCBI's taxonomy places the organism in Eukaryota, Metazoa, Chordata, Mammalia, Rodentia, Cricetidae. The record is from RefSeq and is a predicted model, not a curated record.